RNAcentral lists this ribosomal RNA (1774 nucleotides) under Escherichia coli. RNAcentral describes it as "partial 23S ribosomal RNA". It matches the Rfam family "Bacterial large subunit ribosomal RNA", at positions 374 to 2136 of the family's 2925-position model. The record is from RNAcentral. Lineage: Bacteria; Pseudomonadati; Pseudomonadota; Gammaproteobacteria; Enterobacterales; Enterobacteriaceae.
CGUACACAAAAAUGCACAUGCUGUGAGCUCGAUGAGUAGGGCGGGACACGUGGUAUCCUGUCUGAAUAUGGGGGGACCAUCCUCCAAGGCUAAAUACUCCUGACUGACCGAUAGUGAACCAGUACCGUGAGGGAAAGGCGAAAAGAACCCCGGCGAGGGGAGUGAAAAAGAACCUGAAACCGUGUACGUACAAGCAGUGGGAGCCUCUUUUAUGGGGUGACUGCGUACCUUUUGUAUAAUGGGUCAGCGACUUAUAUUCUGUAGCAAGGUUAACCGAAUAGGGGAGCCGAAGGGAAACCGAGUCUUAACUGGGCGUUAAGUUGCAGGGUAUAGACCCGAAACCCGGUGAUCUAGCCAUGGGCAGGUUGAAGGUUGGGUAACACUAACUGGAGGACCGAACCGACUAAUGUUGAAAAAUUAGCGGAUGACUUGUGGCUGGGGGUGAAAGGCCAAUCAAACCGGGAGAUAGCUGGUUCUCCCCGAAAGCUAUUUAGGUAGCGCCUCGUGAAUUCAUCUCCGGGGGUAGAGCACUGUUUCGGCAAGGGGGUCAUCCCGACUUACCAACCCGAUGCAAACUGCGAAUACCGGAGAAUGUUAUCACGGGAGACACACGGCGGGUGCUAACGUCCGUCGUGAAGAGGGAAACAACCCAGACCGCCAGCUAAGGUCCCAAAGUCAUGGUUAAGUGGGAAACGAUGUGGGAAGGCCCAGACAGCCAGGAUGUUGGCUUAGAAGCAGCCAUCAUUUAAAGAAAGCGUAAUAGCUCACUGGUCGAGUCGGCCUGCGCGGAAGAUGUAACGGGGCUAAACCAUGCACCGAAGCUGCGGCAGCGACGCUUAUGCGUUGUUGGGUAGGGGAGCGUUCUGUAAGCCUGUGAAGGUGUGCUGUGAGGCAUGCUGGAGGUAUCAGAAGUGCGAAUGCUGACAUAAGUAACGAUAAAGCGGGUGAAAAGCCCGCUCGCCGGAAGACCAAGGGUUCCUGUCCAACGUUAAUCGGGGCAGGGUGAGUCGACCCCUAAGGCGAGGCCGAAAGGCGUAGUCGAUGGGAAACAGGUUAAUAUUCCUGUACUUGGUGUUACUGCGAAGGGGGGACGGAGAAGGCUAUGUUGGCCGGGCGACGGUUGUCCCGGUUUAAGCGUGUAGGCUGGUUUUCCAGGCAAAUCCGGAAAAUCAAGGCUGAGGCGUGAUGACGAGGCACUACGGUGCUGAAGCAACAAAUGCCCUGCUUCCAGGAAAAGCCUCUAAGCAUCAGGUAACAUCAAAUCGUACCCCAAACCGACACAGGUGGUCAGGUAGAGAAUACCAAGGCGCUUGAGAGAACUCGGGUGAAGGAACUAGGCAAAAUGGUGCCGUAACUUCGGGAGAAGGCACGCUGAUAUGUAGGUGAAGCGACUUGCUCGUGGAGCUGAAAUCAGUCGAAGAUACCAGCUGGCUGCAACUGUUUAUUAAAAACACAGCACUGUGCAAACACGAAAGUGGACGUAUACGGUGUGACGCCUGCCCGGUGCCGGAAGGUUAAUUGAUGGGGUCAGCGCAAGCGAAGCUCUUGAUCGAAGCCCCGGUAAACGGCGGCCGUAACUAUAACGGUCCUAAGGUAGCGAAAUUCCUUGUCGGGUAAGUUCCGACCUGCACGAAUGGCGUAAUGAUGGCCAGGCUGUCUCCACCCGAGACUCAGUGAAAUUGAACUCGCUGUGAAGAUGCAGUGUACCCGCGGCAAGACGGAAAGACCCCGUGAACCUUUACUAUAGCUUGACACUGAACAUUGAGCCUUGAUG